RNAcentral lists this ribosomal RNA (253 nucleotides) under uncultured bacterium. RNAcentral describes it as "partial 16S ribosomal RNA". It matches the Rfam family "Bacterial small subunit ribosomal RNA", at positions 524 to 776 of the family's 1533-position model. The record is from RNAcentral.
UACGUAGGGUGCGAGCGUUGUCCGGAAUUAUUGGGCGUAAAGAGCUUGUAGGCGGUCUGUCGCGUCUGCUGUGAAAAUCCGGGGCUCAACCCCGGACUUGCAGUGGGUACGGGCAGACUAGAGUGUGGUAGGGGAGACUGGAAUUCCUGGUGUAGCGGUGAAAUGCGCAGAUAUCAGGAGGAACACCGAUGGCGAAGGCAGGUCCCUGGGCCACUACUGACGCUGAGAAGCGAAAGCCAGGGGAGCAAACAGG